UACGUAGGUGGCAAGCGUUGUCCGGAUUUAUUGGGUUUAAAGGGUGCGUAGGCGGCCCCAUAAGUCAGUGCUGAAAUAUCCCGGCUUAACCGGGAGGGUGGCAUUGAUACUGUGGGGCUUGAGUAAGGUUGAGGUUGGCGGAAUUGACGGUGUAGCGGUGAAAUGCUUAGAUAUCGUCAAGAACACCGAUAGUGUAGACAGCUAACUAAGCUUUAACUGACGCUGAGGCACGAAAGCGUGGGGAGCGAACAGG
This 253-nucleotide ribosomal RNA is filed under the name uncultured bacterium. RNAcentral's name for it is "partial 16S ribosomal RNA". It matches the Rfam family "Bacterial small subunit ribosomal RNA", at positions 524 to 776 of the family's 1533-position model. The record is from RNAcentral.